ACAACUUUCAACAACGGAUCUCUUGGUUCUGGCACCGAUGAAGAACGCAGCGAAAUGCGAUAAGUAGUGUGAAUUGCAGAAUUCAGUGAAUCAUCGAAUCUUUGAACGCACAUUGCGCCCUUUGGUAUUCCAAAGGGCAUGCCUGUUCGAGCGUCAUUU
This 159-nucleotide ribosomal RNA is filed under the name Alternaria solani. RNAcentral's name for it is "5.8S ribosomal RNA". It matches the Rfam family "5.8S ribosomal RNA". Rfam says of the family: 5.8S ribosomal RNA (5.8S rRNA) is a component of the large subunit of the eukaryotic ribosome. The record is from RNAcentral. Lineage: Eukaryota; Fungi; Ascomycota; Dothideomycetes; Pleosporales; Pleosporaceae.